Molecule: ribosomal RNA, 497 nt
Filed under: uncultured bacterium
Lineage: Bacteria
Description: partial 16S ribosomal RNA
Rfam family: Bacterial small subunit ribosomal RNA
Source: RNAcentral
GAUGAACGCUGGCGGCGUGCCUAAUACAUGCAAGUCGAGCGAACAGACGAGGAGCUUGCUCCUCUGACGUUAGCGGCGGACGGGUGAGUAACACGUGGAUAACCUACCUAUAAGACUGGGAUAACUUCGGGAAACCGGAGCUAAUACCGGAUAAUAUAUUGAACCGCAUGGUUCAAUAGUGAAAGACGGUUUUGCUGUCACUUAUAGAUGGAUCCGCGCCGCAUUAGCUAGUUGUUAAGGUAACGGCUUACCAAGGCAACGAUGCGUAGCCGACCUGAGAGGGCGAUCGGCCACACGGGAACUGAGACACGGUCCAGACUCCUACGGGAGGCAGCAGUAGGGAAUCUUCCGCAAUGGGCGAAAGCCUGACGGAGCAACGCCGCGUGAGUGAUGAAGGUCUUCGGAUCGUAAAACUCUGUUAUUAGGGAAGAACAAAUGUGUAAGUAACUAUGCACGUCUUGACGGUACCUAAUCAGAAAGCCACGGCUAACUACGUG